UCACCUGCAAUUGCAAAACACGAAGACGAGUCACAUAUGGAGUCGAAAUAUUCCGACGACGUUGUUAUAUAAUUCACGGUUUUUAAAUUGAGGAGAGAAUUCUCUAGUGACCCACGUAUCUAGUAACAUAAUCUAAUAUGAUAUCGUGAAAUUUUUAAUUUUUUUAAAUUAAAAAGAAGCAUUUAAAGUUUAUCGUUUAUCCGUUCCACUUGAAUUCUUGAUGCAAAAAUUAAAUCACUGUGUAUUUUUAUAGUUUCAACGAUGUUAUUGUUUACAGUUUUUGAAUUAAGAGGACACUCGUAUCCCUAGAGUUAUAUCACUAUGAAGUUACUAGAAAAAUAUUUAAUUCUAGUGAUGUUUUAUUAGUAAUAUAAUUUUCCCUCUAAAUCGAGAACGGUUCACCUUUUUGAAGGAAAAUUUCGGCAUUGUUGCUGCUGUCUUUUCGCGGCAACAUCUGACAAACGACUACGCGUUUUCUAAACAUUCUUUCGAUUUGCUGUGAGUCAACGCAACGAGGUCUUAGCAUGAAUGUUUAUCAUUGACCAAAAUACAUUAUCAACCGAAAGUUUAAAAUAUUAACGAUUCGAAGAAAUUCCGAAUAUCAAAGAUUGAUGUUACAAUAUAUAUAUAUAGAGAGAGAGAUAAAGAAAUAAAAUAAGUUCGAAGCUUGCUAUUCCGAUUAACGUAUGACGAAAUGAGAAGCUAUCUUUAGUUUAGGAGAAAGAGAGAGAGAGAAAAAUCCUGACGAUUCAUUCUGCUGAUUCACGCAACGAGAACUGUUACUCUGGUGUCUCCCUGUAAUCAUUCGCGAUAGGAAAUAUCCUCGGCUCUCAUUAUUGUCACGAUAUUAAGAUAUUCUGCUCGGUCGAUUAUUGAUUUUUGACGAAGAGGAGAGGAGAAACGGCCGAUGCUCGAUCCAAUUCAUCCAUCCCCUUUGUUUUCGCUCCCUAUUUUUCUCGAAACGACGUCUACCUUGAGUUCGAUAUUGAGCUGCUUCUCCAAGGACAAAAGGCGAAGAUCCGUGAAUAGACCCUCCUGACUCGGCGACGACGGCCCCAUUGGUGACAGAGGCGUGUCUGAAACGAAAAUAGGCAUUGAAAAUAAAAAUCCCCUUCUCGAUACGCUCUAAAAAAUGUUUUUCUUUUUCGAUUAUAUACGGAAAAAAAUAAACCUUCGUAUUUAUCGAUCGAUCCUCGAAAAAAGUGAUUCAAUUAUUUUUCCCUUUUUACUUCAAGAAAAGCAAAAGUUCUAACAUCAAAUACGAUUUUCACAUUCUCAAAUGGAUACGCGAAGAUCAUUCAUUUGUUUCGAGGACAAAUUAAGAAUACGUUCAAGGGAUGGAAGCGUCUCGAUUUAAGAGAGAGAAAAAAAAAAAAUAAAUAAAUAAAACAGAUCGCGGUGAGAAUAGAUAGCGAAGAACGGUUGAAGAGCGUGGGCGUGAAUUCGCGCCAGUACAUCUCGUUACAUCUCGAGGCAAGCGCCUCGAGUGUCCAAUAGUGAAAUCGCAAGGUACUCGAAUCCCACUUCCUGUAACCUACUAGAGAUAUCUCCGUGCCGCGGACUCCCACGUGUUUAAUGCACUCCCAAGCACAAUGCGAGCGCAGAAAAAAAGCUACUCCUCUUUUUCUUUGUUUCGUUUUGGCACGCACGAGAGUCUGCUUGCUCGCCAAUUUCCGCAAGAUUCUUUUGAGAAUUUUAAAAAUCAAAAAAAUUCUGACUUAGCUUCUUGCAAUGGAAAUGGGGAAUUUGUAAAAUAAUUAUUCUUCAAGUGCUGGUGAAUGACGAGUAAUAAUUGUUGGAAGGAUGCUCUUGAUAAAAUUUUCAUCUUAAUAAGGAAUAUUUAAAUACGUGUUAUGGAUCUACAUAUAAUUCUAAAGUUAAAACCGAGAUACACGAUGUAUCAACUAUAAUUACGUCACUUAUAAAUUAAUUUUCAAAAAUAUCUGACAAUAAAGUCAGUUUGGCUUCUAAGUAGCUCACUAUCCAAUGACAAACGGCGUGUAGAUUAAUUAACAUCAAUUCGAAUUUAUCGAAAAAAAAAGUUGAACAAUUGUAUCUCUGCGAUCUUGCAUCGUUGCCUAUCUAAAAACUCUGUACACGCGUUAUUUUAUCGAGGUGGAAAUAUAUAUAACUAGAUGUAGUUAUUUAUUUUCAUUACACGUCACAUUCAUUACUAGUUCAUUUAUACGCAUCAAAGGCAUUAAGGUGGAACAAAGUUAACCGCCGAUUUAUCGUUGAAAUAAAUUUGCAUCGAUCUUU
Molecule: long non-coding RNA, 2259 nt
Organism: Apis cerana (Asiatic honeybee)
Lineage: Eukaryota; Metazoa; Arthropoda; Insecta; Hymenoptera; Apidae
Source: RefSeq, a predicted model, not a curated record